This is an RNA transcript of Amaranthus tricolor (Joseph's coat), 2855 nucleotides long. It is a transcript of the gene named poly(ADP-ribose) glycohydrolase 1-like, with no coding region annotated. Lineage: Eukaryota; Viridiplantae; Streptophyta; Magnoliopsida; Caryophyllales; Amaranthaceae. The transcript has 10 exons. The record is from RefSeq and is a predicted model, not a curated record.
GAAUAGAACAGGUCAAAUGUACGGCUCAGGCCGGCAAGAGGAUUUGAACCCCUUAGGCCAUAACGUAGUGUCUUUGUCACUUGAAUGCGACGACGUUGUUCUAGUCUUUCAAAUUUAUGCUGAAAUUUCACCCUUUCUUCCAAAUUUCCUAAAGAACCCAGAAGCAGAGCAUACUGUUCAAUAAUCAUGCAAAACCGCCAAGACUUAAAAUCAAUUAUCCCAUUUCUACCGCCAUUAAAGCUCAAAUCUUCAGGCACAUUAACAUGGUUAAACACCCAAGUCACUGAUACCCUUGAAUCAAUUUCACAUGGGUGUCAACUUGACUCGGGUAAAAAACUUUUUGAUGCUAUUUCAACCAUCAGAAAUUCUCUCUGUUUACCCUCUGAGGAUCGUUUGGCAGAAUCUACUGGGAAAGGAUUUUCAAUCUUCUUUGAGGAGUUGCUGCCUAUGGAAGAAUCCAAAAAUUGGCUUAAACAAGUUAUCCCUCGAAUGGCUGAUUUGAUUUUGAGUUUGCCUUCACUUUUGGAAAAUCAUUAUGGAAAUUGUGAUCAUGUAAUUGAUGGGGUUUCAACUGGUCUUCGAAUACUGGAGCCUCAACAACCUGGGGUUGUUUUUCUCAGUCAGGAGUUUAUAGCUGCAUUGCUGUCUUGUUCGUUCUUUUGCUUGUUUCCGACUGUCAAUAGAAUGGCUAACUGUAUGCCAUUGAUCAACAUGGAUAGUAUAUUUGCGAGUAUUCAUGAUCGGUAUCAUCCAAAACAGGAAAACAAAAUCAAGUGCAUUAUUCAUUAUUUUGAGAGGAUAUGUUCAUCUAUGCCCUCAAAUUUUGUUUCGUUCGAAAGGAAGGUUCUUUCUAUGAAUCAUAACCCAUCUGUUGUUGCUCUUCCCUCUUACGAUUUCUGGACCAACUCUGUGGCUCCCGUCUGUGAGUUUAAGGUUUUCCCUACAGGCCUAAUAGAAGACCAUCCUGCUGGGGCACUGGAAGUCGAUUUUGCAGACCCAAGUUUUGGAGGAAUUGUUAUGACUAUGGGGUGUCUCCAGGAGGAAAUCCGCUUCAUGAUGAAUCCUGAACUGAUUGUUGGCAUGCUUUUUUUGCCUUCCAUGGAAGAUAAUGAGGCCAUAGAAAUUGUUGGUGCAGAAAGGUUUUCCAAUUAUAAAGGGUACAAUAGUACGUUCCAAUAUGAUGGUGAUCAUGUUGAUAGAAGGGGAUUAGAUCGUUUUCAUAGGCGCAUGUCUAAAAUUAUUGCUAUAGAUGCUUUGGCAAUGCCUGGCACUAAUCAGUAUAGGAGUAAAUUUCUCUUGAGGGAGGUUAACAAGGCAUUUUGUGGCUUCCUGAAUCAUCCUCAUUAUCAGACGCAAGAAUGCGAUAGUAAUGCCGGGGUUGCUACUGGAAACUGGGGAUGUGGUGUUUUUGGCGGCGAUCCUGAAAUUAAGUCCAUCUUACAGUGGCUUGCUGCAUCUCAGGCAUCCCGACCUUUUAUCUCAUACUAUACAUUUGAACUGGAGACUUUACAAACAUUGGAUCAGGUAGUUGUGGAGAUUGUAUCACAGAAAUGGACAGUUGGAGACCUUUGGAAUAGGUUAUCCAAUUAUUGCUCGAAGCGUCUGGAUGGACAAACAAAGUCUGGUUUCUUUAAGUACCUGAUUCCUUCGAUUGAGCAAGAUGAUUCGGGCAGCAGUACCUAUUACAAGUGCAUUGGUGCAAAUGAGUCGGAGUUCAGUGGUGUCUUGUGGUCGAGUAGGAAUGCAGGUAAUCGCGGUGGUGAUCAUUGACAACAGUUCAAUUGAAAUUUUCUUGUGAAUACUUAACUGAUAGAAGCUGUUUGAUACUGAUGUAAAGAGUAGUAUUCUAUGUAGAGUUUUCCUUUUGAGAGUACCUUUGAAUUCAGAUACUGGUUUGAGACUUGAGAGUGAACCUUUGUUUUAUGUUUUUGAGUUUUGCUUUGAAAGUCUCUUCGAUUUCAAAACUUUGUGUGUUGAUAGUUUGAUACUAGAGGUGUUUAACGGGGAGGGUCGAUCCAGCGGGUCAAGGGUCGGGUCUAGAGAUGUGCAACGGGUUGUGGGCCCAUCGGGCCUCCAGGUCCGACCCUUUAUUAGACGGACUUUUAACGGGUUAAGCCUUCAAUGGGUCGGGCUUUUGAAGGGCCAACUUUUACUAUAUAUGGAGUGGGCUUUUCACGGGCCCUACACGGGCUGGAGUUUUACUCUACGUGGUUAAUUGAAUUAAUAGUUAGAUGAUCCAUAAUUACUCUUCUGGAAUUUCACUUAAACUAGUCAAUUAUGAAGUAUGCUCAACAUAGUCUUUUUUUCAAUGACAUUUUUUCGUCUUUGUAUAAUUCAUUUGGUUGUCCUGGAAUCUGCACAAUUGUUACUUCAAUAUUGUAGAAUGAACUAAAGCAAUCUCUGGACUGACCACAAAUUUGUAAAGGUUUGAGGCUCCAUGUAGAAUCAUGCUACUAUAAGGCAUAAUAGAUCUCAAUCAAAAUGGUGAUGCAAGAAAAAUUAAAGAAUUAGGAUAAAAGGGUCGGAUCGGGUCAGGAUGGGCCAUUAAGUCCGACCCAUUUAAAGCCCGUUCAAAGUAGAGUCCAAUCCGGUCCUUAUCCGACCCAUUGCACAGGUCUAGUCGGGUCACAAUUUAACGGAUUAUUAGCGGGUCAGGUCAAUAGUGAGUUGGGCCAUUAACGGGCCUUGGUGUCAAGGGUCUGGCCAGGCCGAGUCGAAUGAUUAUAGGAAUCGGUUCCGAAAAUAUUUUACCAAUUUUUUAAUGUUUUUAUAUGAUAUUAUUAUUAUAUACAUGGGUAGAUCGACCCAACGGGCCAUAAAGUAAAAUAAAAAAUCUAUUUGACGAACUUUUUAAA